CCACGAUAAUGAACCACCCUUAGAAACCUGCAGAACCCGGUGUAAUAGGUUCAUGAGCACCAACUAGGAAAUAUGGUAAAAUACAACAUCUGUCUGAAAUACAAAUUAGACAGGAGAAUAUAAAUAACUCUAAUGGAGACUCUGCAGGCUGUGCAUCGUAAAAUGAAAUUCAGCUCACGAUGAGUCCCCACAAUAGCCGUGCUUCUGCACCCAAAAGACCACCAGACAUAUAUGUACCUGCACAAACGUGUGCAGAAAGUGUAGCAUGAAUAUGUAAAUCAACAUGUACCCAGUAAGUCUAACCCUAGAAAAUAGUUACGAGGGAUCGACAUCGACACUUAAUAGUGAUCCAAUAAGACGAUUACAAUAAGAAGUAAACGGAUAUAGGGCAGAGCAAGUGAAUGAAAGAAACUACUAUAAAUACAUGGUAUAAUUCUCCGCUCACCAAUAAAAUUCAAGCUCUCAAUUGACAGUUACCUCUUCAACCGGAGUAUGUAUGUAUGUAUGUAUGUAUGUAUGUAUGUGUGUAUGUGUAUGUAUGUAUGUAUGUAUGUGUGUGUGUGUGUCUAUAUAUAUAUAUAUAUAUAUAUAUAUAUAUAUAUAUAUUUAUAUGAGAUAUGGGAAAAGGUUACGGCGUUAUAUACACACCAUCACCUGACCAGCUGGUAUACAUUGAUGUUUUUUGCCACAGUGGCCAAGACGAUAUGAUGGGAUGCCCUCAAAGGAUUGAUGGUGUUAUGAACACAUGUACAUAUAUAUGAUUACAAGCUCUCAAUUGACAGUUACCUCUUCAACCGGAGUAUGUAUGUAUGUAUGUAUGUAUGUAUGUAUGUGUGUAUGUGUAUGUAUGUAUGUAUGUAUGUGUGUGUGUGUGUCUAUAUAUAUAUAUAUAUAUAUAUAUAUAUUAUGUUGGACCUCACCAGAUAGGCCAUCAUAAUUCAAAUCAGGAAAAUUCACGGAUACAUUUGCUUCUUGUUAAAUAUUAUGCACGAUUUUAUUGAAAUGCCGAGGCGUACUGCCCGAUCCCAUCAUAUUGUGUGCACAGCCGAGGGUCCAAUGGUACAAACCAUAUAUACAUAUAUUAUACUUUCGAGGAGAAUGACCCGCUCCCAUGAGAGUGUGGUACAUAUUCUUGUCGAGGCGAACGACCCAAUCCCAUUAGAAUAAGAAGCUUUAACGGGUCCUUGACCCCAUCCACAAUAACGUGUGAGUUGUAAAUUUGUAAGGAAAACCUUCCGAUGAAAUUUCAUUACACGAGGAAAAUCCAUAAUAGGAGCACAAAUUUUGCGGCUAAUCAUGAAGCUCGUCAAAUCCCUAUAAUGGAAAGUCUAUCACUCUACGCAAGUCACAUUUGGCAUUACGGAAUCUGAACCUGAUAUCAAAAAGUCCACUCCUGGUCAAACUUCUCAAAAACUUUUAAAUUUCCAACUUUUUCCAAAUGACCCCGAAAUGACAUUCGGAGCUCUAAAUCCACACCCAAACACGCUCCUAAGACCAGAAUCACCAUACAGAGCUAUUCCUAGACUCGGAAUCCCGAACGGACAUCAAUAUCAUUGAAAUACACUUCAACCCAAAUUCAUGAAAUUCUUCCAGAAAGCCCACUUUCCACAAUAAACGUUGUAACGCUCUCGGGACAUCCAAAACAUGCGAUCCGGACAUACUCCCAAGUCCAAAAUCAUCAUACGAACCAAUUGGAAUCUUCAAAUCCCAAUUUCGAGGUUGUUUACUCAAAAUUCGAACCUUAUUCAAUUAUUCCAACUUAAUGCUCCCGAAAGUAGAGAUUUCUUUCCAAAUCAACUCCAAACUUCUGAAAAUCCAAUCCCGUCCAUAUGUACAAGUCAAAGUACACUAAGUGGAGCUACUCAAGGACUCAAACCACCAAACGAUGUGCUAGAACUCAAAACAACCGGUCGUGUUGUUACAUUCUCUCCCACUUAAACAUAUGUUCUUCUCUGAUGUGUUAAGGAGUGCUUUGGAGUCAUCUAAAACCAUUGUUUAACACCUCGUGCACCUAGUCAUGCCACCACAACCCAGGUGAGCACAUUAGCUCGAGCCAGUCUGAAGAUCCUUCUUGAUACCUUAGCUAAUAAGCCUUAGAAACAAAUUCCAACAUCUAGAAUUCUCCAUGUUUUAACAUAUGAACACCGUAUCAAUCACCAGACAUUGAACCCAAUAUGACCCUGAUUAUCCGCUGAAAGCACACCAUGAACCACAUACAUUUGCCCAAGGCAACCUUCCUCAAGCACAACUAACUAAAAUUUCCACUGACUCGAAGCCCAUUAUAUACCUCAUAACAUAUAUAUGCCUUGUUUCAACUCUCAUUGUACUUCUCCAACAGAGGAGAUGUGUAGAAACCCGUAACCACCGGCCGAAUCAACAAAUCAUGGAGCUCCAACUCAUGUUAAGGACCAUUACCUCAUUUUUCACUAGAUAAUGAUAUAUGAUCUUUAAUAUACCUUAUAUAAAUAUGAUUGCACUGAUUUGAGGUCAAAAAAUCUCGUCUCACCUACUAUAAGUUGCUCGGCAAUAAGCCACCUCAAACAUUAGCCAAGAUCUCAUACGAUGCCACAAUGCGCCAACAAGCUACAAACUUGAAUGUGAUACAUAAGAAAAACGAACUCUGGAAAGAACUACUUAAUCCACAUAACUAAUUAAGUAGCCGAAAAGAUAUUAUGAACCUUCCUCAAAAUGAGAUACAAAAAACAUUGUUGAGGCAUGCAACUCGAUCGAUAAAUGAUAAUUUUGCGGCGUGCAACUUGAUCCUACCAUGAUACCGAUGCAGCGUGCAAUCCGAUCCAAAAAACAUACCCUUGGUGGUGUGCCACCUGAUCUACACAUAAAAAUUAAGAAGAAAAUAUACAAAUCAAUCCGUAAUGCUCAUACUUACAAAAUGCCCGAAUAUCAGGCACAAGCAUGCCAAGUGCAUAAUACAAAUUCCGGGAAGAUGGAUAGUGCCAUAUGCUACGAAACCCAAGCACAACUAAGGUGCAAUAAAUGACUUGCAUUUCGAGAGUCAUCCUGGUCAUAUAACACCUCAAGAUACACGAGACCACAACAUAUUUGCGAAUAAUCAAGCCAUCUCACAACCCACCUAGCAUAAUAGAGUGUUACAUGGAAUAGUUGACGAUGGAUAUAAUAUCCAACGCUCGAAGACUUUUCCAUAAGCAACGCUAUGCUUAAGAACACACCUACCUAAUAUAGAGAGCACAUUCACAUUUAGACCCAUUCUCGGACCUCAAGCCAAUUCGAAUCCUACCAUACUAGGCUAAUACCCUUCCAAGGAUCCAUAACGGCCAUAUUUAUGACACAUAAGAGAAUCCUCCCAAUUCGGAAAAAACUUCCAUAGUUCACAACCAAAUGAAUAGAGUGCCUUCUAGGCCUAAACUCUCACAUUAGUGACAGUAUCAUGGUCUCCGUGCAUGGUUUCAAUCUUUAAUCAAUCAAGUGACUACAUGUUACACUUAUACAAUUUCCCCGCGGGAUACGACCCCAUGACCUUCCAUACCAGGUAGCAAAGUCUGCGCAUCUAUACCACUGGCCAUAAAAUGCUCUAAAGUGAAUCGAGAAUCAGCAAAUCAGCACACAAAGCUUCUUACAUAGGACACCGAUAUCAGGUGGCGCUAAAGACAAUGCCAUCUUACUCUAAACAUCUGAAUUCUUUCCUGCUCAUCCGAGCUCGUGAUAUUCUUGUCAACAAGGAACCACAACUUUGAUCCUUAACUUCCAAUUCACGUGUCACUCACUACACCUAACAUGACACUACGCAAGAGUACAAGAAUUUCAUCAUAACUCCUGAACCACUAAUAGAAUAAAUACCUCAUCAUAUAGAAACUUUUCACCUAACUCGUUUCAGGAGAACCAUUGCAUCACGCGACUGAAUUCUUAUAACCGUAGAAAAUACAAAUCUCAAGUUGUGGUUUAAACCACCAUCACUCUUACAUGAUCCAUCUACACAGAACAGGCCAUAAUAAUCGAAUGCCUCCAAUUAACUCGAAUUAGGCGGCUGCCAAGAAUUGCAUAUACCGCCACAAUUCACCUUUAUAUCUUAACACACUAAAGGAACUGAUCAUUGCCACCACCAUACCGAUUCAACCAUGGUUAACCGAAGAAACUUCUUCUAAUUUACUCCAGGCCUUCCUUAGAAAUAAUUAUAGCUACAUUUGAACUUAAUUCACACUUAUCAAGUGACCCAAUUCACGAGACCCCAUUGUCUCAAAACCCAUGAACCAUCAUGUACCCUCUUUGUGCGCACAUUUGCAUGUUCAGCUGGUACACCCGUUUUGAUAAUCCCUCUGUCAAUACGAAGCUAUUUUAUCCCAUUCCUCUAAUGCUACACCACAGACUAGUGAUAACAUAGAACACAUCAAGCCCCGUUCAUAAUCCACUACAGAAGCUUGGUACUUAACCAUACCAUAGACUCAAAAUCCUUAGGCAUUGGACUUUAAUUUUGAACCCACCAGGACCGUUGUUGAGAGUCACCCACUCUGACUUGAUCCCGAAUAUAAGCCAAACUUUAGUGCUCUGCUAGCACGUGAACACCCUAUCAAGGGAAAAUUCGACUAAAUUCUUUUCGUUAUACAUUAACCCCCAUAAGAAUUAUAAACUCUAAGACUUCCCAAAACCUAAACUUGAAUCGAUAAGACAAAAAUAUCACACAUUCCUCAAAUCGUUGAUGCACCCCCUUUUUCUCGUGAAAUCGAGUUUAUGACAUUUGGAGGGAGAACUCAUUCCUUUUGGGAAUUGGGUUUAUAUAUAAAGAGUCGCCACCUAAUGAUUAGGGUGCAUUAGGACACCAAAGAGUUUGAUUUGAGUAACUAGAGAAAGGGUAACUACUUGAAAUUAUUCUAAGAGCAAGGUGUUAAGCAUCCCUCAGAAUUCACUAGUGUGGUUCCCAGCCAAACAAUUAUUCUGAACUUAGGUGCAAAUAACAUAUAGACAAAUAAGGCUUCAAAUAAGAGGGAAUUUUUGCAGAAUGGUUAAAAAAUAAACAAAGUUUGAAAGAACAAUUAGAAAAGUUAAUAUUGAAAAGAAAGAGGUGAAAUUGUUAAAAGAAGUAAAUAAUAAAAUAGAUGGGGAUCCCAGGUUACUAAAAAUAUGGAUCACCCCAGUAAUUACUCCUCGACGAGGGGCUACAUGUGACAUUAUCGUGUGGUCAUCAUAUCCAUAUCUACCCUACUCACCUCGUUAAGGUAUUAAAGCGCGCAAUGGUCUCGAUUACUUAUUGCAUGAUAUUACCCGUGCCAAUCCUAUCAGUCCUGGAGGCAUUUAGGACUAUUAAUCCUAAAAGGGGAGGGAUAUUGGUCUUAUUUAGGGUUUCAACGGCAAAAAUCUAAGGCGACAAACAAAAACACAUAUUUCACAUUUUAGGGGGAAACAUAUACACAAAUAGAGGCUCACUUAUGCCUCCUUGGAAAAAAACACAUAAUUAGCUUGACUUUCCACACUGUUUAGGUCUGAUUUAAAAGUAUUAAAGAAUGAAGGAGUUAAAUAUUGAGGCAGACUGGUAUAUUUUAUAACUCAAACAAGAAGUCUGAAUCAGGCAUGCCUGCUGGUUGUAAUAACUAACAGAAAUAGAUUCAGUUUAUAAUUAUUACCCUAAGGCUUGUCUAAGUGUUGGACAAAGAUCCUAUAAGAAUGGUAUCUAGUGGUACAGAAAGAAAAGAAAUAGUAAGGCUCAAAAUAAACACUUUGAAUGUAUACUUCAUAAACUUGCUAAGUGAGGAAAUCAGAUUAUAAAGAGAGACAGGAUUUAAGCAAAUUGAUUAUAAGUCCUGUGACUGAUAGUAGCCAUUAUAGCAGGUUUUAUUUCUAACACUGAGCAAAGAGAAUCGGAGUCAAUGAGAAACUUUUAUAGGCAUGCUUUCUAUACAUUGUUGAUUUUAAACCUUAUAGACGUAGUGUAGAAAUGCAGAAGCCUUAGAGACAUGGUGUCUAAAUGCAGCUAAACAUGCAGAAUUAAACAUUUUUUGUAGGCAUGAUUUCUAUAUGAAGUUGAAUAUGCAGAGUCCUAUAAACAUGGUUUCUAUAUAUAAUUGAAUAUGCAAAAUCUUAUAGACAUUGUCUCUCUAUGAUGUUGAAUAUGCAAAAUCAGAAUAUCCUAUGGGCAUGAUUCUCUCUACGGUGUUGAAUAUGCAGAAUCAGAAUAUCCUAUGGGCAUGAUUUCUAUAUGAAGUUGGAUAUGCAGAAUCCAAUAAACAUGAUUUCUAUAUGAUAUUGAAUAUGCAGAGUCUAUUGAUUAGGCUAGGGAAAGCUAUUGAUUAGGCUAGGGAAAGCUUUAGGCAUGCCCAGCAAUGGAGGAUGUUGGCAUGCCUAUAAGCCUGCCAGAACACACACUAUUAGAGGCUAGGAUCCCAGGGGAUCAAGUUUGAGUCAUGGACAAUAAUUUUUGGUACUGUCAUGCCUUGAACAAACCAUAUCAUGAACACAUCGGGGUGGGGUCUUGGAAUUCAUAAUAGAUUUAGAAUAGGCAGCAAGAAAUUACAGCAUGCUAAAGUAAGCAUUGAACUAUACAUAAGCAGUAGGCAGAAAUGCAAGUAAAGGUAGUAAAUAAACACAUUGUUGUGAUUGCUAAAAAUCCCUAAUCAGGACAUACCAGUUCCAAAUAAGCAAAAUACAGCAGUAGCAACACUUGAAAAACAGCCGCAGUACAAGUAACAAGAGAGAAUGUUUUUGAAUAUGAGUGUGAGUUCAAAAAACUAAGAGUGUUCGUGUCUGUUUGUGUCAAUGAAAGAGUUAGGUAUUUAUAGUGUGAAAACAGGCAGAAAAUAAGGCAAGAAAAAAAAUUAUGGAACUAGGUACCAUUUAAAAUCAAUCAGUAUAAGACAUCCUUUAAAUAAGGAGUUAAAAUCAAAUGGAAACAUGUAAAAUAAGAAAAGAAAUCACAUAGGGUUGUAUAUGGCUAAUAAGGAAGUAUUUCCAAUAUAGUAGAAGUACACAGUAGGUAAUAUGGGCAAGGUUCCUCAGAUUGUAAUCAAGAAAAAGUCUAUAAGAAUUCCAUACCAAUGUAAUCACGGUAAGGGGAUUAAUCAAAUUGAGUAGAAAAGGUAGGGGUCGAAGGUUCAAGGAAAGUAUUCGAAUAGGUCCAAAAAUAGGCAAAUCAGUACAAUAAGGAAGGAAUCAAUUACAAGAGUGCAAUCAGAAUUACACAAAGAUGUUUGAAAUCAUUCCACAAUUAAGGGUUAUUUUGAGAGGGAAAUUUAGCCAAUAAAAGAGUGCACAAACUUUAGGCAUGCGAGGCUAAACCAUGGCAAAGAGAAGCAGUAAUAAUAAAUAGAAAGUCUAUGCAUAGUGAAACAUGGUAGCCACAUAUGUUGACUUAGUAAUAGGGAGGAUAGAGCAUCAAAAGAAUGCAAAAGAGUCAAGUGAAAGACCUUUUUGGAAAGUGUAGCAGGAAGUCAGAAUCACAUAGAGAAACAAAAGAUUUAGAAAUUCAAUCGACCAACAGAUGAAGCCACUUCAGGAACCUUAAUAGGCUCUGAAGGAAUCAUGGUUUUGAAACCAAACAAAUUCAGGGAUAAGGAACACGCAAAUCGCAUAGCAAAUAGUCUCAGAACUCGAAUGGACCCCAAAUCCUAGGUUUUUUGCCAUCAAUCGAGUGUAAUUAUGAAAGACAAAUAAUCAAGGCACAAAUAAUAACGAAAUAAGUUUAGAAAUCUCGAAAAGGAACUGAGACCUUUAAUAUAAAUUUUCCAGUAGAAGAACAACAUAAAGAAGUACAAUAGAAAGACAACAUAAGAAAACACAGUAGAAGAACCGCUAUAAGAAACAAAGUAGAAGAAUCAACAUUAGAAACCCAGUAGAAAAAUCAUAAUAAAUAUAGUAGAACAUGCAAAAAAAUCAGAGAAAGCUUUGAACUAACUUAAGAAAAUCCUACAUCAGAAAAGAUACAGGUUUUUGAAAGCAGAUUUAUGAAAGAAACUUUGAGAAAACGUUUGAAAUUUUAAGAUAAGCACAUACUACAAUGGAUCUAAAAGAAUCAGAAGAACCUCGAAGGUUAGGGUUUCAGAAGAAACCCAGAGGGUGAGAAAGCCUUGGAAUCGUCGAUCUAAGCAGGAGAGGUCAAUAUCAGGCUUGAAUAGCCAUAGCUGGCCAGAGCAAGGUCGAAGAUGGCCGGAGUCAGCCAUAGCAAUGAAAACAUCCAAGGUCUGGACCAAAUUUCUUCAAGGUCUGGCCUUGAAGCCAUGACAAUCGAGGAUAUAAGAGUCGUGGGAGGUAGAUACAGGCCAUCAAUAGCUUUGGAAGCCAUUCAUUUGGUCGAUUUUAGGUGGUGAUUGAAGGUGUCGGCUAGAGUUUUUAG
Molecule: long non-coding RNA, 8296 nt
Filed under: Nicotiana benthamiana
Lineage: Eukaryota; Viridiplantae; Streptophyta; Magnoliopsida; Solanales; Solanaceae
Description: long non-coding RNA (NBEN_LNC013429)
Source: RNAcentral